UAGAUUGGAGCUCGUUGAAGGGCGUUUAAUUGUUAAUUAAAAGGUAAUGGGGUAGAAACCCAUCAGUCUAA
Molecule: transfer RNA, 71 nt
Filed under: Siphonops annulatus
Lineage: Eukaryota; Metazoa; Chordata; Amphibia; Gymnophiona; Siphonopidae
Description: tRNA-Asn
Rfam family: tRNA
About the family: Transfer RNA (tRNA) molecules are approximately 80 nucleotides in length.
Source: RNAcentral